RNAcentral lists this non-coding RNA (23 nucleotides) under Rattus norvegicus (Norway rat). The record is from RNAcentral. Lineage: Eukaryota; Metazoa; Chordata; Mammalia; Rodentia; Muridae.
UUGUGUGUGUGUGUCUAGAGAAC